Molecule: non-coding RNA, 272 nt
Organism: Pseudonaja textilis
Lineage: Eukaryota; Metazoa; Chordata; Lepidosauria; Squamata; Elapidae
Source: RefSeq, a predicted model, not a curated record
UGCUGGGUUGUUAUCUGAUAUCCCCUGCUGCUCUUCUCUUCUCUGUAGACAGCCAGUCUGUGGAAUUUUCCAUUCUGCUCCUUGGGCCCCCUCCUCAGGGAUUUCUCCUUAUGGCUGAUUCCAGAAGGUUUAAUAGCUUCCAAACUCAAUUCCUGCUCUGGUUUGCAUUCAAACACUGCAGACACAAUGUCCCACUUUUUAUCUAGGCUGUUCAAAACUAGGAGCACUUUCUGAGAUUCAGGAAUCCUCAUCCCACAUCGUUCUAAUUCCAC